Molecule: ribosomal RNA, 497 nt
Filed under: uncultured bacterium
Lineage: Bacteria
Description: partial 16S ribosomal RNA
Rfam family: Bacterial small subunit ribosomal RNA
Source: RNAcentral
GAUGAACGCUGGCGGCGUGCCUAAUACAUGCAAGUCGAGCGAACGGACGAGAAGCUUGCUUCUCUGAUGUUAGCGGCGGACGGGUGAGUAACACGUGGAUAACCUCCCUAUAAGACUGGGAUAACUUCGGGAAACCGUAGCUAAUACCGGAUAAUAUUUUGAACCGCAUGGUUCAAAAGUGAAAGACGGUCUUGCUGUCACUUAUAGAUGGAUCCGCGCUGCAUUAGCUAGUUGGUAAGGUAACGGCUUACCAAGGCAACGAUGCAUAGCCGACCUGAGAGGGUGAUCGGCCACACUGGAACUGAGACACGGUCCAGACUCCUACGGGAGGCAGCAGUAGGGAAUCUUCCGCAAUGGGCGAAAGCCUGACGGAGCAACGCCGCGUGAGUGAUGAAGGUCUUCGGAUCGUAAAACUCUGUUAUUAGGGAAGAACAUAUGUGUAAGUAACUGUGCACAUCUUGACGGUACCUAAUCAGAAAGCCACGGCUAACUACGUG